UCGGGAAUUUUGGGCAAUGGGCGAAAGCCUGACCCAGCAACGCCGCGUGAGGGAUGAAGUAUUUCGGUAUGUAAACCUCGAAAGAAUGGGAAGAAUAAAUGACGGUACCAUUUAUAAGCUCCGGCUAACUACGUGCCAGCAGCCGCGGUAAUACGUAGGGAGCAAGCGUUGUUCGGAUUUACUGGGCGUAAAGGGCGCGUAGGCGGCGCGGUAAGUCACUUGUGAAAUCUCUGAGCUUAACUCAGAACGGCCAAGUGAUACUGCUGUGCUAGAGUGCGGAAGAGGCAACCGGAAUUCUUGGUGUAGCGGUGAAAUGCGUAGAUAUCAAGAGGAACACCUGAGGCAAAGGCGGGUUGCUGGGCCGACACUGACGCUGAUGCGCGAAAGCCAGGGGAGCAAACG
This 402-nucleotide ribosomal RNA is filed under the name uncultured bacterium. RNAcentral's name for it is "bacterial SSU rRNA". It matches the Rfam family "Bacterial small subunit ribosomal RNA", at positions 355 to 774 of the family's 1533-position model. The record is from RNAcentral.